GCUUGGUCAUGGGCCCCUCGCCGCCUGUCCGCAGGUGGCGUGCCCCAAAACAGUCGGCAGGACCUCGUGUACCGCCGGGCGUAGCAGAUUGUAACGUCCGUGGCGAACGCGAACCGCGCCGUGAAAACCAGGGAGGAGUCAAAUCCCCCCGACCCACAAAGGUUGACCUCGGAUCAGGUAGGGAUACCCGCUGAACUUAA
RNAcentral lists this unclassified non-coding RNA (200 nucleotides) under soil metagenome. RNAcentral describes it as "partial contains internal transcribed spacer 2 and large subunit ribosomal RNA". The record is from RNAcentral.